Molecule: ribosomal RNA, 465 nt
Filed under: Vreelandella stevensii
Lineage: Bacteria; Pseudomonadati; Pseudomonadota; Gammaproteobacteria; Oceanospirillales; Halomonadaceae
Description: partial 16S ribosomal RNA
Rfam family: Bacterial small subunit ribosomal RNA
Source: RNAcentral
CCUACGGGUGGCAGCAGUGGGGAAUAUUGGACAAUGGGCGAAAGCCUGAUCCAGCCAUGCCGCGUGUGUGAAGAAGGCCUUCGGGUUGUAAAGCACUUUCAGUGGGGAAGAAAGCCUUGGGGCUAAUACCCUCGAGGAAGGACAUCACCCACAGAAGAAGCACCGGCUAACUCCGUGCCAGCAGCCGCGGUAAUACGGAGGGUGCGAGCGUUAAUCGGAAUUACUGGGCGUAAAGCGCGCGUAGGCGGUCUGAUAAGCCGGUUGUGAAAGCCCCGGGCUCAACCUGGGAACGGCAUCCGGAACUGUCAGGCUAGAGUGUAGGAGAGGAAGGUAGAAUUCCCGGUGUAGCGGUGAAAUGCGUAGAGAUCGGGAGGAAUACCAGUGGCGAAGGCGGCCUUCUGGACUGACACUGACGCUGAGGUGCGAAAGCGUGGGUAGCAAACAGGAUUAGAUACCCCUGUAGUC